AUAUAAUAUUGUAAUAUAAAAAAAAAAAUAUUAUGGUCUCUUUAAUGAAGAUGAGGCUAUGAUAAAUUUUAAAACUAUAAGUUGAAUAUAUAAAUAUAUACAUAUAUAAAUACAUAUAUAUGUAUAUAAUACAUAUAUAUAUAUAUAUAUAUAUAUAUAUAUAUAUAUAUAUAUAUAUAUAUUUUUGUAACUUUAUAUGAUAUGUACUUUCAUAUUUAACAUACAUUUAAUAAUGUGACAAGCAUUUUAUAAUUAGAUGGGAUAUUGUUUGAAAGUAUUAUAAAAGGAUUAACACCUCCCAAGCAACCAAGUCAUAAUUUUGAUAUAGGAAGAGUAGUUUUAUUUUAUCAUUAUGGAAAAGGGUUAUAUAUAUGAAUUGAGGAUGUAUUUAAAUAUUUAAUUUUUUAAAAGUGAACAUUUUGUGAAAAUAUGAUUAAAUGUUAACGUUUUUAGAAUUGUGAUUAUAGAUUAAAUUUUUUUGAUCAAUAUAAAUUAUAAGUAGUGUAUAUAAUUUUUUAUUAAAGUUAAUGUAUUAUGCAUAUUAUUAGGUUGUUGU
RNAcentral lists this small RNA (556 nucleotides) under Plasmodium billcollinsi. Its description in RNAcentral is "Plasmodium sp. DRC-Itaito ncRNA". Lineage: Eukaryota; Apicomplexa; Aconoidasida; Haemosporida; Plasmodiidae. The record is from RNAcentral.